Molecule: long non-coding RNA, 4449 nt
Organism: Xiphophorus couchianus (Monterrey platyfish)
Lineage: Eukaryota; Metazoa; Chordata; Actinopteri; Cyprinodontiformes; Poeciliidae
Exons: 2
Source: RefSeq, a predicted model, not a curated record
CAAAAACGCCGACAAUGUCACAUUUUCAUAUUUAAUUUAUUUCCUUUUUUUUAAAUGGUAGAUCUCAUUGCUUUUUCAUGGUUUACAUACAGCCAUUCGUAUAGAGAACAAAGAAGAUUCAAUUUUCAAUUAACUUAGAAAUGUACACACUUCUUUGUGACCACACCCAGGAGAAAAAUAUCCUUUAUUCAAAAGUAUCGUCUCUCUUUUGGGGAAAGUUUGUUUGCUUUGUUUUGUUUUUUUCUCCUGAUUGGAGAACGGGUUGGUUUCCAUCCACCUGCUUCCUCCGUAUGUUCCCUCCGUUCCUGUUUCUGUUUGUUUGGAUGAGCGGACGUGGAGGUCAGGGAACACCUGGACACACCGGCACAACGACGAGCUGAACACUAAACGACUCCGUUUCCACUCACUGUACAGAAACUCAAUGAACAUCUCACAGCGACAAACGCAAUUCAAUGGAGCGGCGCUUGUAAGGCUACAAAAAUAAAACAAAAAAAACAUUUUGAAUAAAUCAACAGCAAUAAUUUGGUCUAUUUAGCCUGACAGAGAGAAAACAAAAUAUGUGUGUGGGUCAUAUUUUCACUUUUUUAUUCCAAAAUUUAUGAACGCCAGAGUUCCAACUAAGAAACAAAGUAUUUAAUUCACAAGCUAAAUAGUGAGUUUACACACAGCGGGGCUUAUAAAACCCAGCUUUUAUACUCAACUUCUGCUUGUCGGCAAGCUAAUUUGCACGUUAGAUAAAUACUUAGCCUUAAACACUCAGCUGAAGCUAAAUAUUUAGCUAGCAAUUUAAAUAUUUAGUGUGGCAAAUACAUAUUAAGUUUGAAAAUUAAAAGCUUAGUUUGUAAAUGAAAUAUUUAAAUUGGACCUAAAUAUUUUGAUACAAGUUAAGUAUUUAGCUAGCAACUUGCAAGCAAGGUAAAUAUUCAGUUUGAAAAUUAAGUGUUUAGUUUGGAAAAUAUUUAAUUUGGAGCCAAAUAUUUAGUAAAUCUUUGGCUUCAAAUGAAAUAUUCACUUGGGAACUAAAUAUUUUUGCAAGCUAAAUAUUUAGCAUCCUAACUAAAUAUUUAAAAUUUUGCUAAAUAUUUAGAUGUCUUGCUAAAUAUUUAACUUGUAUCUAUGUAUUUAGGUCCAAAUUUAUAAAUGAGUGAAUGACGUGGUGAAAAUAUGACUUUAAAAAAUGAACAUCAUGUCUUUAUGACAGGCUAAAUAAACUAAAUUAGUGCUGUUGUGCAACUUUCCUGCCACCCGUUAAGUGUCAAUAAAAAAGACUCCAAAAUGUGACCAAAACACCAGCGAUGAUAUAAAAAAAAAUGAAAAAAAGACAUAAAUUAUGUAAAAUUACAGUCAGUGCAUGGGAACAAAACAAUAGAAAUUCCUUUCUUCAUUUCAUUUGAACAAGUUCACCUCAUUGUUUUAGCAUAAAGAGCAGCAAAAAAAAAGACAAUCCGAGAGCUUCGAAAAGCUGUUGCUCCAGCUCUGUAAACAGCAUUUAGUCAGAGAAAGAGCCGACGGGUCAAUUUGGCAAACCGGUGGAAGGGAUGGAGGGAGGAUUAGACCUGGCAGGCGCCCCUGCUAGUCGAUUGGCCGCGAACAGAACUCUGGCCUGAGGACAUGGGACCGGGUGGCAGCGCUGCACCGAGCGCCAGGCUUCUGCCAAAGCUGGACUGCUAAUGCUGGUGUGUGUGUGUGUGUGUGUGAGUGCGCGUUUGUUUAUAAUACCUUUUGAGGACCAUUUUUCCUGACACAUACAACGUUGUGGGGACCCACUGCUCCUUGUGGGGACCGAAGCCUGGUCCCCACAAGGUACACGGUGUUUUUGAGUCUGGGGUCAGAUGAAAGACUACGGUGUGAAUUGAGUUUUGGAUAGGGUUAGGGUUAGGUAUAUAAUGGUUAGGGUUAGGUAUAUAAUGGCUAGGGUUAGGUAUAUAAUGGCUAGGGUUAGGUAUAUAAUGGCUAGGGUUAGGUAUAUAAUGGUUAGGGUUAGGUAUAUAAUGGUUAGGGUUAGGUAUAUAAUGGUUAGGGUUAGGAUAAUGCUAAGGUUUAAGCUGUAGAAAUGAAUGGGAGUCAAUGGAAAGUCCCCACAACGAUACCCAUGCAAACGUGUGUGUGUGAGUGUGUGGGCGUGUGUGGGGGUGGGUGGGUGUAUGAGUGCAUCUUCUCAGUUCAAAAUGGACGUGAAGUGCAGUUAAUGUUUACGUUGAGUACACAAAGCGACAUGCAAAGUGCCUUGUAGGGGUCACGGGUUCAAAACGGAUCAGGCGUGUGGGUGCGGCGACGCAAACAGAAAAUCCCCACGCAGCUCCGUAGCAGUGAACGUUGUUUUACAAGGCAAACACACAACUGCUAACUUAGUGCAUCACAAAAAACACAUUUUGAUUAUUUGAUUAAUUUAAAUGUUCUCAUAUUACAUUAUUUAAGCAAAAAAUUCAAGAAAGGACUGAUUGUGACUGGAAACGGUGGGCAUAAAAUGGGAAUGUACCACCGGGUAUAGGGGUGCUGCGCUAGAGGGGGCGCCAAACGACAGAGUAAAAAUAAUUUCUGGUCAGCAUUUUCAGUAUUUGACAGCUAUUUUUGCAUGAUGUGAUUUAGAACAGAGGCACGCCUGCAGUGUGUCAGAAAGCAGAAAGUUCGCCCCGGACACCAGCACAGGAGGAAACUAAUCAUUUCAAACAAACAUGUGCCAUUGCACAUGUUUGCUUUUCCUUUAGUUAGCCAUUUCUUGAUUAAAGAAGACAAACAGUUACAUAAAAUGCCCAAAUCUCUACAAUUUAACCUACUAUUAUAUUGUUUCCUGGAAACAUGAUAAUAUUUUUUAUUUAUUUUAUCCUCUGAUCAGUUUGGACUCUUUAUGCCAAAUUCCGACUCCUGAUCAAAUCAAAAAUAACGGAGAGAUCCUGACAUGUUGGAGUUGUAAAAACACAUGUAUUAAAUAAAUUAUAGGCACAUCUUCCAAAAUUAGCUAAAUCUGUCUGAUUGGUCAGAAUGAAACGCUGGGCGGCUCCGUUACCUGGAAACAAAACAGCGAAGGCACCAAAUGACCAGAACCGCCGCAGGCUUGUUUACAUGCUGCAUCAAGCCUUAAUGGGUCAAAACCAGUAUCAACAUGGAAACCAGUAGUUACCAGUCAGUGAAUCAUUUCUAACUUGGGUUCAAGGAAAGCUCAUUGGCUGCUUAGGUUAAGAACAAGAAAACAUUAAAGAGGACAAAAACCAAAGAAAAUAAAUUAGAACCCUGUUUAAGAUACAUAAUGUGCACCGAGUAGCUCUUUUAUAAAACUCAAAACACACACACACACACACACACACACCUUCAUAUAUAAAUACAUGUAUGUAUGUAUAAAGACAACAAAAACAAAACCACCUCCUUCCAUUAAGGUGCAACACAUGAUUUUGCAGGCAGUUGAGUUGUUAAUAUGGAAAACAAAACAACAACAAAAUAAAACAGGUAAAGAUUACCGUGAUAUUUUUAUAGAUCUGGAAGGAAAUGAGGACAAAAAAAAGAAGCGACUUUAUAACAGACACAGAUCACAGAUGAGAGCAAUGUUAUCAGUAUCCUGGAUUAUUUAUUAAUAAUAAUAAUAUUAAAAAUGCACCAAAACUGCAAGUUUUUUGUGUGUGCCAAACAAGUGGAAGCCUUCACAGUAAUCAGUGAGGGCACAAACCAAGUGCCUAGUAGUCAGAGUUAUAAAACAUUAUAAUAUAUAUUUUUUGCAAUAUCUUUUUUUUUUUUUGUCUUGCUUUAUAUGCUGGGUUCAUUUUUAAGUAUAUAUCUGUCACCAAGAAAUCAAAAGACAUUCUGAAGCAGACAAGAGCCAUGGAAAAACUCCGAGUGGUGAUGAAAGCCAGUAGAGAACAGCUUGAUCUGAGCGACGGCGUGAACAAGACGGAAACGGAAACGAGCCGCUAAAAACAGAGCCGAGGGACCCCGACCUCACACAACCCCCUGGAGAGACAUUAGAGACAGAGCUGCCAAGUAGAUGGACUUACAAAAUAUAGUACAAAAAAAAUAAUGGAAUUUGGGGGGUGGGAGACCAAACAUUCCCUGUCAAUUUACACAAAAAAAUUAUUUUAUAAAUAUAAAAAAGAAGAAGAAAAAGACCCAGAAAAAAAACCCCUUUAUUUGAGCAAACUCAAAAUGCACAUGUGCAAAUCAAAACCAAAACAGGCAGAGACUGCAAACAUAGGAAGUGUGGCGUUUGAGCGGAAAAUCCCUCCUUCUUCCUCCGUUUCUGACUGCAGGGAACUCAAAACUCUCCCCGAACUAAAACUGUUUCCUUUUCCUUUUUUUCUCACAGUCCGUCAGUCAGACCGGUCCCCCUCCCCUCCGGCUUCAGACGGGAACCGAUCCGCGGCCGGGCCAGGUACUGGCGGCCGGUUCCGCCCACUUGCCUUCUCAGGCACAUAUGUGUCACUGUUUGUCUUUCUGCCGUGUCACUCUGACUUUCAUCAA